UACGUAGGGGGCUAGCGUUGUCCGGAAUCAUUGGGCGUAAAGCGCGUGUAGGCGGUCCGGUAAGUCGGCUCUGAAAGUCCAGGGCUCAACCCUGGAAAGCGGGUGGAUACUGCCGGGCUAGAAUCCGGAAGAGGCGAGUGGAAUUCCUGGUGUAGCGGUGGAAUGCGCAGAUAUCAGGAGGAACACCAAUAGCGAAGGCAGCUCGCUGGGACGGUAUUGACGCUAAGGCGCGAAAGCGUGGGGAGCAAACAGG
RNAcentral lists this ribosomal RNA (253 nucleotides) under uncultured bacterium. RNAcentral's name for it is "partial 16S ribosomal RNA". It matches the Rfam family "Bacterial small subunit ribosomal RNA", at positions 524 to 776 of the family's 1533-position model. The record is from RNAcentral.